UUGAAAAUGAUGAAAAAGACAAGAAACUGUUAUCUGGUUAUCUAAUAGAGAGAAGUGGGUUGGUGGAACACUUCAUCCGAGAUAGUUUUACCACUUUUGAAUCUUUGCUUGAAGUUUAGUAAGGUAAGGCGUAGCGGAGCGUUAGUCCGUUUAAGAGAUUCGUUUAAAACGAAUGAAUUUGGGUGGAACCACGUAGAAAUAACGUCCCAUAG
Molecule: non-coding RNA, 212 nt
Filed under: Granulicatella elegans
Lineage: Bacteria; Bacillati; Bacillota; Bacilli; Lactobacillales; Carnobacteriaceae
Description: T-box sequence
Rfam family: T-box leader
About the family: Uncharged tRNA acts as the effector for transcription antitermination of genes in the T-box leader family. T-boxes are found upstream of many aminoacyl-tRNA synthetase genes and some amino acid biosynthetic genes usually in Gram-positive bacteria.
Source: RNAcentral